This 439-nucleotide ribosomal RNA is filed under the name uncultured bacterium. Its description in RNAcentral is "bacterial SSU rRNA". It matches the Rfam family "Bacterial small subunit ribosomal RNA", at positions 29 to 484 of the family's 1533-position model. The record is from RNAcentral.
AUUAACGCUGGCGGCGUGCCUAAGACAUGCAAGUCGAACGUGAAAGUUCUUCGGAAUGAGUAAAGUGGCGCACGGGUGAGUAAUACUUGGGUAAUGUACCUUAUCGCUGGGGAUAACCAGGCGAAAGCUUGGCUAAUACCGAAUAAUCCGGCAGAAACUGCGGUUUCAGUCGGUAAAGCCGUAAGGCGCGAUUUGAGCAGCCCAAGUCCCAUUAACUAGUUGGCGGGGUAAAAGCCCACCAAGGUUACGAUGGGUAGCUGGUCUGAGAGGACGAUCAGCCACACUGGUACUGAAACACGGACCAGACUCCUACGGGAGGCAGCAGUUAGGAAUUUUGCGCAAUGGACGAAAGUCUGACGCAGCAACGCCGCGUGAGUGAUGAAGGCCUUCGGGUUGUAAAGCUCUUUUAGUUGGGGCGAAAAAAUGACGGUACCAACAG